RNAcentral lists this ribosomal RNA (600 nucleotides) under Desulfovibrio sp. G05VIII. Its description in RNAcentral is "partial 16S ribosomal RNA". The record is from RNAcentral. Lineage: Bacteria; Pseudomonadati; Thermodesulfobacteriota; Desulfovibrionia; Desulfovibrionales; Desulfovibrionaceae.
CUUAUCGCGUUAACUUCGACACCGAACCGGUUAAGGCCCGACAUCUAGCAUCCAUCGUUUACGGGCGUGGACUACCAGGGUAUCUAAUCCUGUUUGCUCCCCAGCGCUUUGCGCACCUCAGSGUCAGUGUAUGCGUCCAGAUGGCCGCCUUCGCCACGUGGGUGUUCCUCCAGAUAUCUACGGAUUUCACUCCUACACCUGGAAUUCCGCCAUCCUCUCCGAUACUCAGAGGCUUUACAGUAUCAAGUGCAAUUCCCGCGGUUGAGCGCGGAGGGCUUUCACACCUGACUUAUAAGGCCGCCUAGCGCGCGCUUUAGCGCCCAGUGAUUCGCGAUUAAGCGCUCGCACCCUCCGUAUUACGCGGCGGCUGCUGGCACGGAGUUAGCGCGGKGCUUCCUCUGGAGGUACCGUCAGUGAAAGGUGGUAUUAGCACCAAACAGUUUCUUCCCUCCUGACAGAGGUUUACGACCCGAAAGCCUUCAUCCCUCACAUGGCGUCGCUNCGUCAGGGUUUCCCCAUUGCGCAAUAUUCCCACUGCUGCCUCCGGUAGGAGUCUGGGCCGGUGNUCCAGUCCAGUGUGGCUGGUCAUCCUCUCAGACA